GGGGAUGUACUGGUUAAAUACAUUAAAACCCGUCAUGGGGUGUCGGGGGUCGUAGGUUCAAAUCCUAUCAUGCCGACCA
This 79-nucleotide transfer RNA is filed under the name Providencia stuartii. Its description in RNAcentral is "tRNA-Pro". Lineage: Bacteria; Pseudomonadati; Pseudomonadota; Gammaproteobacteria; Enterobacterales; Morganellaceae. The record is from RNAcentral.